RNAcentral lists this long non-coding RNA (871 nucleotides) under Homo sapiens (human). RNAcentral's name for it is "HSALNT0402838". Lineage: Eukaryota; Metazoa; Chordata; Mammalia; Primates; Hominidae. The record is from RNAcentral.
CUAAGGAUGCCAAUGUGAUACAGCAGAGGAGAUGAGGUCACACUCCAUGGGGAGAUGGUCACAUAAAGCUUCUUAGAAAAUGCUCCUGCUUCAGGUGCAGAAACACAGCUAUUUCCAGUGCCAGCUGUUGAGCCAGUGCCAGCACCAGGGGCAGAGCCCCUUCCAGGGACAGCGCUGGAGCUAGAGGAAGCUCCAGAGCCCUCCUGCCGCUGCCCUGGGACUGCACAGGACCAGCCUAGUGAGAAGCUGCCUGACUUCAUGGCACCUCCUGUAGAGCCACUGGCCUCAGCCCUGGAGCUGAAAGUGUGGCUGGAGCUAGAGGUGGCAGAGAGGGGGUGACCAGCACAGUUCCAGCCAGCAGCUCCCACACUGCUCCCAGUCCUGGGCACAGUGGAAGCUAUGGAGGCAGAGACCAGGGUGUGCAACCUGGGCUCCUCUGCCUCACUGGAGAGGGACUUCUCUCAUUCAGCAGAGCAGCAGCCCUGCUGCUGAAGGCCCUGCCGCUACUGCUGCUGGAGGUGUUUGCCUGCCUGCAGGAGGUGCUGGAGAGCAAGAAAAGGAGCCUGUGAGCAGGGGUUCCAGCAGGUCCUCCUGCUCCCAGAGGCGACCUCCUCCUCCAGGAAUGGAGGUUUGCCCUCAGCUGGGCAUCUGGGCCAUUUGCCUCUAAUGUGCUGCCCAGGAUGGCCUCUUCUUGACAGGUGGACAGGGGUUGAGGGGGCCAGGGGGCAUCUCCAAAGGAAGCUCUUAAACUCAGCAGCAGCACUCCAGAAUCUCCAUGCCUGCACCUGCCCAAGGAUUUAUUCAUAGCUUAACUAAGAAUUUCAAAUUUCUACCAUAACACUGAAAUAAAGUUUGACUUUUUGAAACUUCC